Molecule: long non-coding RNA, 2667 nt
Organism: Pomacea canaliculata
Lineage: Eukaryota; Metazoa; Mollusca; Gastropoda; Architaenioglossa; Ampullariidae
Exons: 4
Source: RefSeq, a predicted model, not a curated record
CGCCUGAUCAUCACACGAAAGUAGAUUGAAGCCAACUAAUAUAAAAUGACUGAAAUAAUGUAAAUGCUCUUCCCCUCGCUAAUCACUUCUAUUCUUUCAGUAUAUUGUUUAUAUGUAUUUCAUCUUUCAGGCUUGCUGUAUUUUAGUUGUACACUCAGAGAAAGUAAAAAAGAAAAGUAAAUGGUGAAAUAAAAAAAUUUUUAUUUCUGUUAAGAAACCAAAAACAAACUAAAAUGAUUGUUUUCCUCAAAGUUCAUGCGCACUGAAAUGCUGAGAACAAAAGAGAAAGGCAAGGUCAGUCAUGUCCUCAAGUUUUUCUUACUCCUCAUUGUUUUCUUGAGUUUGCUAGAACUCUCAUUGUAGCCUGGCCUGUCAUUUACAGAACGAUGCCGAUCUUCUGUCCUUAACAAUGUUUAAUAUUUAAUUUAAAUUUUUUUCUGCUUUUUUCAGCUAUUCAUGAUAUUUUUGUGAGGUUGAAAGAUUUCAUUUUUUAAACAGCGAUUCAUGAAGGGUUUUAAAAAUGAAGUUGCCAGGACAGACAUAAAAAUUCACAUUUUAGGUGAUUAUUGUCUGUUGUUGAUGACCCUAACAUCCAUGUCUUCUUGAUGACGAUGAAUACCUGUAAGCAUAUAAAGAUUGGUUUCACGUGAAGACGUCAAUGGAUGAGUAAUAUUUGCACCUUUUAUUCUUUUUGUCUUUCUUCCAAAAGGGCUUUCUGCAUCGGGACUGGCUCAUCCACAAUAUAUCGUUGUUAUGACCAGAAGUCGGCUGUCACCAACAAGAAACUUAGUUUAUACAGCCACUCCACGAUCAAGAGGGCCGAUUAGCUACUUCUCCGAUACAGAAACUAAAGUCCAUUUUCGUCAAUGUCUAGUUUAUGAAUCUUUGUUUAUGCGGAAAUACUUCUGUGAAGUUGUCUUCACCACUGUAGUUUCCGCUUCACAAUCUGUUCUUCCUGUCAACGUUCUACUUUUCUAUUUAAUGUUUCGCCAUUGAGCAUCUAGAGCAUCCAACCUCUUGUACAUCAAUUGAUGUUAUCAUCAUCCCAUGUCCAUUUCAAUGCAAGAGGGUUAAUAAAAAUAAACAGCUUUGAAAGGUUUUGCAUUCUCCUCAGAACACGGACAUUGUGUGUACACACCAACCGUGCUGACGGUUAAUACAUUAUUUCCUGUUUAACUAUAAGUACUGACACCAGCUGGCUCAAACCUUUGAGUUGUUUCAAUAGCGUGGACAAACGAGAAUGCUUAAAAAUCCAGAAGGAAGUUUUACAAUUUCGUAGACAUUUAAAUAGUGCAGAACGAAACAAAACCGAGAAAUGACUAAUAGGUCAACAACGAACAUAGAUAAGUGGGAUUUCCCAGGCAAAGGGCCACGAGUGAGGCAGGAAGCAGUUGUCUAGAUACUUGAUAGGAGCAGGAUCUUUCCACUAAGCAUCUCGUCAGCGAUGGCGACAAUAAUGAAGACCAUGUUGUAUUUGUCUCUCUUUGCUUUACUUACAGCAGCUGACAAAAACAAAGAUCAGAUAAUAGAAACAUGUGCCGCCUUGGAUCUUGUCGGAAUGAGCUCAGGACAGCGAUAUCGAAGCUAAACAAGACACUCCGUUAGCAUAACCUUUGAACUGACCACCCAGAACUGUUCUUAUAGUCCAAAGAUGUUUCUCGUUACAGUCUCAUAUUUGGAGGAAGAAGAACAAACUCCUGUCUGUACAGUAGCUUUCAAAAUGGAAGACUUGCAGUGUGGGAAACUUGAUACCAUCGUGCAGGUGUACUCAGAAUGGUCGAUUGAUUGGUUAUAUUGAUACACACGUGAACAGAAAGUCCUUAAGGUUACAGGCUGGAGUGGACCGACUCAAGCAGAAUUAACACUGAAAGAGAAAAAUCUGUUCUCAUCAGAAUUACUUCGACCAGGAACAAUGCUCUGAUAAUCAGCAUGGCGGUCUUAUGUCCUGCAAUGUUCAUCAUCAUCAUUGUUGCAGUCGUGGUGUGGAUACGGCGGAAACGCAGAGCGGCCGGUGGUCAUCUGGAGGGACGAAUAGCAAACUAUCUGCAGCUUGCAGAGAAGAGAAUGUCAUCUCUGGGAUCAGCAAUCAGACGGCGCUCAGCUUUCAUUUAGUUCUUUGCUCCUUUCGUCUUUGCGCUAUGUUAGAGCUCAAGAGUGUGGCCAGAAUUUUGCCAAUUGAUUGUCAUUUGUACGCUUUAAGUAAAAAGAGUGCCAGAAAGAAAAACUACCGAACAAUAUCAAGAUGAAGUAUUUUUUGUGAAAAGAAAAUUCACUAUUCAAGGGAUUGCAGAAGUGUCGUCUGAACCCUUGUUUAAUUGUCGAAAGUUUAAAGCUGUCUCUCUGAAAAAAUCUUCUGAUUGAAAAGCAAAAGAAUUAUAAUUUUUUAAAGAAAAAAAAUCUCAUUCCCUAAUUACUUGCACAUAUUUCUUGAUGAUGUUCUUUAAAUGUCUUUCAAUGUACUUCCCGCCAUAAGGUAUUUAAAUUACAGUUGGAUGUCUACUCUGUCGCUGGCGUGUGAUAUACACGGAGUUUUGUGGCAACUCUCUGAUUUUGACUGAUUUGGCUGUUUUUUGCAAUGCGUAUUAUUUGUUCUGAUUUCGUCUGCAUAUUUUUUGUUACCAAAAGAGAAAAAUAAGGUAAACAUUGAAAAUAAAUUCUCUUCACUGC